CAGGCCUAACACAUGCAAGUCGAACGGCAGCACGGAGCUUGCUCUGGUGGCGAGUGGCGAACGGGUGAGUAAUAUAUCGGAACGUACCCUAGAGUGGGGGAUAACGUAGCGAAAGUUACGCUAAUACCGCAUACGAUCUAAGGAUGAAAGUGGGGGAUCGCAAGACCUCAUGCUCGUGGAGCGGCCGAUAUCUGAUUAGCUAGUUGGUAGGGUAAAAGCCUACCAAGGCAUCGAUCAGUAGCUGGUCUGAGAGGACGACCAGCCACACUGGAACUGAGACACGGUCCAGAUUCCUACGGGAGGCAGCAGUGGGGAAUUUUGGACAAUGGGCGAAAGCCUGAUCCAGCAAUGCCGCGUGAGUGAAGAAGGCCUUCGGGUUGUAAAGCUCUUUUGUCAGGGAAGAAACGGUGAGAGCUAAUAUCUCUUGCUAAUGACGGUACCUGAAGAAUAAGCACCGGCUAACUACGUGCCAGCAGCCGCGGUAAUACGUAGGGUGCAAGCGUUAAUCGGAAUUACUGGGCGUAAAGCGUGCGCAGGCGGUUUUGUAAGUCUGAUGUGAAAUCCCCGGGCUCAACCUGGGAAUUGCAUUGGAGACUGCAAGGCUAGAAUCUGGCAGAGGGGGGUAGAAUUCCACGUGUAGCAGUGAAAUGCGUAGAUAUGUGGAGGAACACCGAUGGCGAAGGCAGCCCCCUGGGUCAAGAUUGACGCUCAUGCACGAAAGCGUGGGGAGCAAACAGGAUUAGAUACCCUGGUAGUCCACGCCCUAAACGAUGUCUACUAGUUGUCGGGUCUUAAUUGACUUGGUAACGCAGCUAACGCGUGAAGUAGACCGCCUGGGGAGUACGGUCGCAAGAUUAAAACUCAAAGGAAUUGACGGGGACCCGCACAAGCGGUGGAUGAUGUGGAUUAAUUCGAUGCAACGCGAAAAACCUUACCUACCCUUGACAUGGCUGGAAUCCUUGAGAGAUCAGGGAGUGCUCGAAAGAGAACCAGUACACAGGUGCUGCAUGGCUGUCGUCAGCUCGUGUCGUGAGAUGUUGGGUUAAGUCCCGCAACGAGCGCAACCCUUGUCAUUAGUUGCUACGAAAGGGCACUCUAAUGAGACUGCCGGUGACAAACCGGAGGAAGGUGGGGAUGACGUCAAGUCCUCAUGGCCCUUAUGGGUAGGGCUUCACACGUCAUACAAUGGUACAUACAGAGCGCCGCCAACCCGCGAGGGGGAGCUAAUCGCAGAAAGUGUAUCGUAGUCCGGAUUGUAGUCUGCAACUCGACUGCAUGAAGUUGGAAUCGCUAGUAAUCGCGGAUCAGCAUGUCGCGGUGAAUACGUUCCCGGGUCUUGUACACACCGCCCGU
RNAcentral lists this ribosomal RNA (1353 nucleotides) under uncultured bacterium. RNAcentral's name for it is "bacterial SSU rRNA". It matches the Rfam family "Bacterial small subunit ribosomal RNA", at positions 43 to 1397 of the family's 1533-position model. The record is from RNAcentral.